UAUAUAUAUAUAUAUAUAUAUAUAUAUAUAAUUGCUUUCAUAAGAAGUUUUAAAAAAAUAUCUUUUUAUUUGAAAAGUACUUCAUACUAGUAUAACUAAACAUGUUAUUACCCAACGAAUAAAUAAUUUUUUAGAUAUUUUUUUCCCAGUAUAUAUAUAGAAUUUCUUUUCGAUAAAGUUUCAUAAUAUUUAGUUUUAGUUUCAUAAUAUUUUUGUAAAGAGGACCAAUCCUUCUUUUGAGUAUAUGAUACUUUUAGGAUGAACAUAUUUUAAGACUACUAUCAAGAGAAAAUAUUCUUCGUUGGUAUGCAAAAGUUGCCCGAUCGUAAGAGGCGACGAUGAUGAGGCUACCGAUGCAUCGAGGAACGGAUCGAGGAAAAUCAUCGCAGCAGUUUCGCGACGAAAGCAGUUGUCGGAAGGUGUUGGAUAAGAGGCAUCACCGCGGGUGGUGUGACCCAAAGUGGCUUAGGCGCUUACAAGCAACGAAUUCGAAGCCCUUCAAGAACGUCGCGUUACUUACGGCUGUUGGCUUAUUUACUGUGACACCCAUUGCGAAGGAAAGAACGGACGGCGAGUUGCGGCACAAAUCUCGCUUUUCGCGAGGGACACCAAUCGCAAAAACAGGUUUCAACGAGUCGAUUGUCGAAUUUGCUUCCGACACGUUGCGCACAAAUCUCGCGGACAAAUCAGCAGAUCUGUUUAUACGUCAAGGCGCGCGGGCGAACUCAACUGCGAAUUUGAGAACACGGCGCGAUGACGCAACGAAGAGGUGACCACGCAAAGGUGAAGGAUACGAGAAGAAUGGUCACCGUCGCGCGUCAGCAACCGCGGCUCUUUUUCUCGCGGCAGUGGCGCGUUCAUCGAUCUACUCUAUUAUUGUCGAUUCGUGAAAAUAUGCGCCCGCCAUCCGAGAGCACGUCUCUCCGUCGGAGAGAAUGAGAGUCGCCCCCUCACCCCCCGAGAUAUUCCCUGUCGCGUCGCAAGGAUGCCCGUUAACUUCCUCGGUGAAGAGCAGUCGCGGUCGCGAGUUGGCACAUACACGCGUUGGCGCUUCAUAAACACGUACAAUACAUAAAUUGCGACCUCCCUACGUUCCUUCGCGCACAUUACAUUAUAUAUGUACACACACACAUACAUGCGCGCGUAUGCUCAAGCUAAAUAAGCGUGUGCACACUUGCGCGUACGCCGCGUUACGCAUAUAAAACUCUUAUCGAUUGUACGAUACGGCGGUUCGCUUUCACGGUUUGUAACCCGUCGCGGUCGAUCGUCCGUCCGCCGUUGCGUAGUCGACUUGUGCGCGUUUAUUCGCGUCGGAAUCAGGAAAAGGCGGCGGACGCACUCUCCAUUCCGGUGCGUAAUACGCGUACAAACGACGCGUUGUGAUGUGCGAUCAUCAACGCGAGGCAAUUCUCAACUGCAAGCCCAAGUGUCUUAUUUCGACUGAAUCUCUUUCUACGCUCUAUCUCUUGCCAUUUUAAGUCGCAUUUGGAGUGUUUAAACGUAUUAAAUUAUAAUUUAAUGUCUCUCAAACGUGUUAAAUGACAUGAUUUAAAUUCGCGAGGAACAUGGAAGGAAACGAGCUUCAGCCAAAUUAUACGUUUAUGGGUCUAAGAAUAACACACAUGGAUUUACAUAGUUACCGCGCGAAUCGAUUCAUUUCUCCAUUUUCUUGACUGCAAAAACGCGCUGUUUGCUUCUUUUCUUCCUUCGCGCAAUCCAGCACGAUGAAACACACAAAUUCGCAAUGGGGCAAUCGACUCCUCCUUCGAGGAGUGUGGGUGAAGGGGAUCCACUGAGAUUCAUCGUAAAAGCUGAGUCAUUGAUUAGGUUUGGAAUUUCGCUGGGAAACGAAAUCGCAUUAGUUAGCGACGAUCAAAUCGUCGGAAUCGCGAUCCUCAGCAUCUUAUCUUAUCGAUGUUGUUUGCACAACGAAAAAUAUUUGUAUUUUGAAUACUGAAGGAACGUAGCUCAAUGGCGCGGUUGAGAGUUAUUCUGGUUACAUAACACUCAGAGCGAAUGUGAUUUAAAGUUAUCAUAAUACGUGGUCGUAGUAUCUAUAAUAGAUACCCUAAUCGCAGUCAUCACUUCGCAAGCAAUCCCGAGUGGAAAUUUUAGCCCAACUUUCGACCUGAACUUUCUAAUGCUAUAUAUUCUGAAGAAUCGGUGUAUGUUUAAUACACAUAGAGAAACUAAAAUCCAGUUAACGCAUCUGAUUGGCAGAAAACGCCCAAAGUGUCACCUGCAGUCGACCUAUUAACAAAGUUAGUAGGUUAAGUAGAAUCAAAAGAGAUCGAUGUAGGCUUCGGGGUAUAUCGAAGUAGGUGUUAAGUUGAAACGUUGGGGCCGAAAGUAAAAUGAAAAUUUCGACGUGGGUCCACGUUCAUUUAUCGCCUAUGGAUUCUCUGCAAACUUAUUCUAAUCGCGGAACGUCAUUAAGUGAUUUCGCUUCUUCGCGGAAGCUUUUGGAGCUUGCGAGUUUUCUCGAGCAUCUUCCUCCUUCGUGAGAGCCACUUGCCGUUGGAUAUCGUCGCCCAGUAUCGUUUUACGACUGAUUAUGCGAGAAUAUACGGGGAUACUCCACACGACGCUUGGCCGAGGCCUGCAAUAAUCGUAUACGCAUGUUUGUCGAAAGGUACCCUGCAGAAAGUAGCCUAAGCUAUACAAAACUAUACACAAAACGCGCACCGUAAAAAGGGAAAGGAUCGAGACGCUUGUUGCCCGGCAUGUCGCGGUGCAAUAAAGUCAAGGUUUUCCGCUGACGUAACGCGCACGCGGUGCGAUGUACUUUUGCGUGCAGGUUGAUUGUACCCCGAGAAUUCCUGAGUCCUUCCCCACCAUUCGUAGCGGCGCUACGGAUAAUUUUAUACGCUCGACUACAGCGCUACCUUUGACCUAAUGUCGCCCGCCGCGCUCUUCUUGCCGGGCCGCCGCGAAUCGAUACGCGAGAGAGCAGGAAUAACUGCGCACCAUUUUUAAAUAACGCUAAAGUUAGCGCCGUCUGACCCGCUCUCCUUGCCCCAUCCUCGCGUAUCGCGCCGUGUCGGGAAUUCAUUUUCUCAGAAAUGCCGGUCGUAUUAUUCGUGGAUCGACGAGCCGCGACGCAAAGAGAGUCUCUCGCGCGCGUAGCUUUUAUUUUCUAGCGGACACGCGGAACUCCUCUUGUAAUAAGUUACGAGAGGCGAGCGCGCGACGAGGUGAAUCUACGGAACUGCGACUCAAGAUAGACUUUCGAGAGGUGGGACAGAGAGAGAGAGAGAGAGGGGAUAAGGAGAAAAGACUGAAAUAAUACAAAAGGAGAGAAAAAAACUGCACGAUGUCAGCAGAGACUUGAGAACCGGUUUUCACGCCGCGGCGCGAUCGGUUAACGCCGCUGCUCGUGACGAUUGUCUCGAAUUCCUAUACAACGACAAAAUGUCGUAAUUCUCCGGUGCUCGGUAACGCGUUACGUUGACACCCGAGAUGCGCGAGAGGAUCAAUAAGUUUGCUCGCGGAACGUCCAUCAUCUAUACCGAAAGAAAACGAAUUGUUGAUCAAACUAAAAUUAUACUUCUUUUUGGUCUCAACCAUAUUUUUCGUAGCAAAGGGGUAGUAGUGACAUGCAUAUAAAAUUAUUAUCACUAACUUUACUAGAAUUUAAUUAAAAAAUAAUAAUUUUCUUAAUGAUAAUUUAUAAUGAUUAUUUUUCUAUGUGAUCACAGUUGUGUUGCAAAUAUCAAGCAUUUUUUCUCAGAGUGUAAAGUAUGUAUACUCACAGCAUAUGCCUAGAAGUUGAUUCAUCGGCACGAACGGCAUUGUCGCAGCCGAUCACUCGUAUGUACACAUACCAUUUUGCGACGAAUAAUGCACCUGCUGUGAUGUACACAGCAGGCGUAACACCGCAAUAGCACAAUAGUAACUACACACGCAGGAAAAAUAACUCCGUUAAUGCAAUUAAAUUUUCUAUUACUUGGGGACGAAAAACUCGGUCACUGGAACAGGAUGAUUCCCGUAAGGGGUCCCUAUUCAGCUAAUUGCUCUCAGUUAUCUCAACCAAGUUUUCAUGCAGCUGAAUGUUCAGACGAAUGUUUUUGAUCAUGGUAACAGAGAUAUUAUUUUUCGUCUGGUCCUCACUCAGAUAUACGAACUGAAAUUUCUUUUCCGUGUGGAAUUUUUCAGCCGACAUGACUUUGUGCAUCACGACUGUGGAGUAUUCAACAAAAUACUGUAAAGAUAUAUUGAAUAUUUACUCUUUUAUAUUUCUUUUAUGAUUUUAUGUUGCUAAUGCAGUGCUGCAUUGUUAUUUGCUGUUAUAAUAAUUAGAAUAAUUGAGAUAUCUCGUCGCUGCGUUUCUUUGAACAAUCAACAGUCACGAUACAUAAUCACAUCUCUGUAGUAGUCUGUAUACAAGUACAUAUAACUGAUAUAUAUUUUUUUCUGUUUUUAUCCUAAUUCUUAAGUUUC
Molecule: long non-coding RNA, 4440 nt
Organism: Odontomachus brunneus
Lineage: Eukaryota; Metazoa; Arthropoda; Insecta; Hymenoptera; Formicidae
Exons: 2
Source: RefSeq, a predicted model, not a curated record